UUGAGGUUUAAUUAGCACUGUGGAUUGUUUGUCCUCGUGCAGCAGCGAUGGGCUCCGCUGCUGUGGCUCCUGGAGCUGCCACCAAACAAAUAAAGAAGGGUGAUUUUCCAGCAUGAGCCCAGUAAAUCUGUGCUUUUGGCCACUUCUGUGUUUAAUCUGGCUAAGGAGGGGAGCUGGGGGCUGCACUGCACCACUGAGUUCUCUGCUGGAUCUCGUGGCUCUGGGAAUUGAAGAACAAUGCUGGCAUUUGUUGUUUCUCUCAUAAAAUAGAUAAAUCAGCACUGUCUUGACAAAUCUCUUGAAAUAACUCACAAAUGGAUGGUUCCUCUGCAGGAACAAACACACUCUGAGGUCACUCUGCUCCUCUGCAUCUGCAGGCAUUCUGGGACAGCAAAAGACAGGAAGAUAAACUGGAGCAGUUUAAUUGGGAAAUGGGCACUGGAGCAGCAGCAGCACGGAGUGUGGGGCACAGAUCCCAUCUCCUGUCUCUUGCCACUGGUACCUGGAGCAUUGUCCAACCUCUCUCUCCAGCAAUCCAGACAGAAGUAAGAGGAAAUGGAAUAAAUCAGCUCAGGCUGCUCUGGCCUUUCUGCAAGAACUCCACGGGCUGGCACAGCUCUGCAGCACAAGCAGCAGCUGGAGAGGCUCUUGCUGCUUCUG
Molecule: non-coding RNA, 660 nt
Organism: Zonotrichia albicollis (white-throated sparrow)
Lineage: Eukaryota; Metazoa; Chordata; Aves; Passeriformes; Passerellidae
Source: RefSeq, a predicted model, not a curated record